This 267-nucleotide ribosomal RNA is filed under the name Acinetobacter sp. Its description in RNAcentral is "partial 16S ribosomal RNA". It matches the Rfam family "Bacterial small subunit ribosomal RNA", at positions 1170 to 1440 of the family's 1533-position model. Lineage: Bacteria; Pseudomonadati; Pseudomonadota; Gammaproteobacteria; Moraxellales; Moraxellaceae. The record is from RNAcentral.
AAGGCGGGGGGGGUCAGUCAUCAGGCCGUUAGGGCCAGGGGACACACGUGGUACAAUGGUCGGUACAAAGGGUUGCUACACAGCGAUGUGAUGCUAAUCUCAAAAAGCCGAUCGUAGUCCGGAUUGGAGUCUGCAACUCGACUCCAUGAAGUCGGAAUCGCUAGUAAUCGCGGAUCAGAAUGCCGCGGUGAAUACGUUCCCGGGCCUUGUACACACCGCCCGUCGGCACCAUGGGAGUUUGUUGCACCAGAAGUAGGUAGUCUAACC